RNAcentral lists this transfer RNA (65 nucleotides) under Variovorax sp. RNAcentral describes it as "tRNA-Met". It matches the Rfam family "tRNA". Rfam says of the family: Transfer RNA (tRNA) molecules are approximately 80 nucleotides in length. Their secondary structure includes four short double-helical elements and three loops (D, anti-codon, and T loops). Lineage: Bacteria; Pseudomonadati; Pseudomonadota; Betaproteobacteria; Burkholderiales; Comamonadaceae. The record is from RNAcentral.
GGCUCGUUAGUUUCUACGGACUCAUAAUCCGUUGGUCGAUGGUUCAAGCCCAUCACGGCCUACCA